Molecule: transfer-messenger RNA, 362 nt
Filed under: Succinivibrionaceae
Lineage: Bacteria; Pseudomonadati; Pseudomonadota; Gammaproteobacteria; Aeromonadales
Also listed under: 1 other name
Description: Succinivibrio sp017635415 Standard tmRNA
Rfam family: transfer-messenger RNA
About the family: Bacterial tmRNA, also known as 10Sa RNA or SsrA, is named for its dual tRNA and mRNA-like properties. Its role is to liberate the mRNA from a stalled ribosome. To accomplish this part of the tmRNA is used as a reading frame that ends in a translation stop signal.
Source: RNAcentral
GGGGGUGAAUCUGGCUUCGACUGGAAGCAUGGAUUCCUAGGCGCAUGUCGAGGUGCGGUACCUCGUUAAACAGUCGCAAAAAAAUAGUCGCAAACGACGAAACCUACGCUUUGGCAGCUUAAUAACCUGCGCUUAGCCCUCGGUUCUAAGCCUUUCCAGUGACGCUUAGUCAUACCGGGGUCGGUUUUCACUGGAUCGCGUGGAGUCCCCGUCUGAGGAGGAAGCGUUAAAUGAAUCUAUCAGACUGGGUGCGUUGUGGCGUGGCAAUCCGCAGCACGUACCAAGAUUAAAGACUGCCUAAACAUGUAGUGCUGAAGAUGAAGUCUUUUGGGACGAGGGUUCGAGUCCCUCCACCUCCACCA